RNAcentral lists this transfer RNA (61 nucleotides) under Dictyocaulus viviparus (bovine lungworm). It matches the Rfam family "tRNA", at positions 6 to 65 of the family's 71-position model. Rfam says of the family: Transfer RNA (tRNA) molecules are approximately 80 nucleotides in length. Their secondary structure includes four short double-helical elements and three loops (D, anti-codon, and T loops). The record is from Rfam by way of RNAcentral. Lineage: Eukaryota; Metazoa; Nematoda; Chromadorea; Rhabditida; Metastrongylidae.
AGUUGUGUAAUGGAUAGCACGGCAGACCGGAUAUCUGUAAGUGCGGGUUCGAGUCCCGCCU